RNAcentral lists this ribosomal RNA (490 nucleotides) under uncultured bacterium. Its description in RNAcentral is "partial 16S ribosomal RNA". It matches the Rfam family "Bacterial small subunit ribosomal RNA", at positions 30 to 507 of the family's 1533-position model. The record is from RNAcentral.
UGAACGCUAGCUACAGGCUUAACACAUGCAAGUCGCGGGGAAACGGCCUCGAAAGCUUGCUUUUGAUGGGCGUCGACCGGCGCACGGGUGAGUAACGCGUAUCCAACCUGCCCAUCACUUGGGAAUAACCUUGCGAAAGUAAGACUAAUGCCCAAUGACAUCCCACGAAGGCAUCCGAAUGGGAUUAAAGAUUUAUCGGUGAUGGAUGGGGAUGCGUCUGAUUAGCUUGUUGGCGGGGUGACGGCCCACCAAGGCAACGAUCAGUAGGGGUUCUGAGAGGAAGGUCCCCCACAUUGGAACUGAGACACGGUCCAAACUCCUACGGGAGGCAGCAGUGAGGAAUAUUGGUCAAUGGGCGAGAGCCUGAACCAGCCAAGUAGCGUGCAGGAUGACGGCCCUAUGGGUUGUAAACUGCUUUUAUAAGGGAAUAAAGUGGGUCACGUGUGACUUUUUGCAUGUACCUUAUGAAUAAGAACCGGCUAAUUCCGUG